UACAGAGGUCCCAAGCGUUGUUCGGAUUCACUGGGCGUAAAGGGUGCGUAGGUGGCCGGGUAAGUCUGAUGUGAAAUCUCUGGGCUCAACCCAGAAAUGGCAUUGGAAACUAUCCGGCUAGAGGAGUGGAGGGGGAACUGGAAUACUUGGUGUAGCAGUGAAAUGCGUAGAUAUCAAGUGGAACACCAGUGGCGAAGGCGGCUCUCUGGUCCACAACUGACGCUGAGGUGCGAAAGCUAGGGGAGCAAACGGG
Molecule: ribosomal RNA, 253 nt
Filed under: uncultured bacterium
Lineage: Bacteria
Description: partial 16S ribosomal RNA
Rfam family: Bacterial small subunit ribosomal RNA
Source: RNAcentral